AAGAGAUAUAACAAAAAAUCCAGAAAGACUAGAGGUGCAGCGCAAACCGAAGGACAUCAGUUUAACCAACUAAACUGAAAAUGGCGCUACAAAUCCACACUCCAUCUUCCUUCACUAACGGUCUCUAUCAUCGCAACUUCAUCUUCCCAAAACCUAGAUUUUCGAUCAAAUCCCAGAAGCCUACCGUUGACGCCGACCCCACUCCUGAGCCCAGCUCCACGCCCAAGAAGCCCGCCGCUCCGGGCCAAGGGUUUGGCUCCUCCUCUCCUUCCUCUUCUUCAUCGUCACCCUCAGGCAAGUCAAGCAUAAGCAGCGGAAAGAAGAAGCAGAAGGGAAAAAGAGAGAGGGCUUCGAUAAUAAGGCGGUCGCCGGUUGAGAAACCUGCGUUUGUGAGCAAAGAAGAAGAGGCUCAAGCUGACGAACAGAGAAAAAAUGAGAGUGCCUUUUUACUGGCGUGGUUAGGGCUUGGUGGGGUCAUACUUGUGCAAGGCAUUGUUCUUGCUGCUUCAGGCUUCCUACCAGAAGAGUGGGAUAAGUUCUUUGUGAAUUACUUGUACCCAUCUUUCACCCCAACUGUUCUCUUGUUUCUUGCUGGAACUGUUGCAUAUGGAGUGCUGAAGUAUCUGCAAAAUGAGAAUCUUAAGGACCAAAAUUAGAUACAUCAUUCCAAUUAUCUGAUAUUUCCAAAUUGUAAGAGCAGACUGCUGUCAUGAAAAGCAAUCCGUUGUUUUCAGUGUUUCAUCCAAUGGAGUUCAAUGGGAUGUUGAGUUCCUAUACAUGUACUUGCUGGCAACGAUGCAUGGAAGUUUACUAUAUAUGCUCUGCUUGUCAGAGUUACAAUCAUGAGGUAUUCUUUUUACUUCUUUUUUGGUACUUAGGACAAACACAAAGGGGGAGCGGAGAUUCAAUCCUUGGAUCUCAAAACUCCUAAGGAAGGUAACAACCGCUAGGCUUAGCCUGAGUUGUUCGUAAGGUAUUCUAUUUGUUGGUUCCAUAGUUUUUCUUUUUCCUUUCUGUGAAAGAGCAAUUGUCUUCAGGUGUAUACAUAAGGGCCAAUGCAGUUGAUGAAUGUGAGAUCUCUGGCCUGGAAAAUCUGGAAGAAGUGUCCACCUCAUCUAGAUUAUAAAGCUACAGCAUUUUCAGCAUCUGAAUAUGACACAUGGAAAGUUAGACUUUUUAGUUUUUACUUUUCUUCAAGGUAACCCCUGAGAUUUUGAGCCCGUUUGCUAACAUCGGGCACUAGUAGGCCCCAUGAAAAAUCAGGAGGUCAGUGCAGUGAGGAACCCCGCCUCCCCCCACCACACUGCCCUGUGCAACCAUAUGGGCCUUUAGUGUUCUUGUAGUUGUGCUGGAUCCACCAUGUCUUAGGAAAAAGAGUAUGGAAUCCAAAGAGAGAUUGGAUGAAAAAGGUCGUGUGCAUCAAUAUCGUGAAAAAACCAAGCAGCUUAGUUGUCGAUCAUCUAGAACUAUGUACAUUUUUUUUAAUGUUUCGAAAUUAUUCACAUGAGGCAAAGCACUAAAUUUCACAGUGCUUGAUUUUGCUAUCAUGCUUUAUGGAAUUUAUAUAAUUUUGUUGUCAUCAACAUUAAUAAGGAUCAACAAUUCACCUAUUCAUAUCACUGUAUUUUUUGGUUGAUAAGGUCACGUCACUUCAAUGAUGUUGCAUGAAGCAUGUAUUUCCCUCAUUGGUUAAUUCUUAUAAAUAUAAUUUCUAUACUGUUUGACUUUGCAUAAUUUACUUUGCAAUGAGAAACGACCAUCUUCUUUCCGGGAUUGCUUUAUUUGUUUAAGGAGCUAUAAGCCGAUAACUAUGUCUACAUCUCUCUCUCUCUCUAUGCCUGUGUAAUGAAGUGUUGUUAUUUAUUUAUGUCAUGUUGCAGCUAUUGGAUCAAAAUUGGUGGUUGACUAAUGUUUUGCUGAAAUUUUCUUUUCUUCAUUUUGUCGAAGAAUUAGUAAGAGUAGUUUUAAUGGUUAUUUUAAAACAUCAAUUUUAUUAAUAAUGUUGUUCAUCUAACUAUGGCUUUAGUCACUAUUUGCUUCUCUUGGGUAAUUGUAAAUAUCGAUAAUGUGUGACUGAUAAGUUUUAAUUGGUCUUCCAACUACAGCUUUGUCUAAUUGCACGAAGGUCACCUUGGAUUGAUCACAUAAAAGCUCAUGCCUUGUUUCCGGGAAAGGCCUAAAUCUCCUGAUGGUAGCCUGGUAGGUCACAUCAUAUGCAAUACAUGAUUAAAUGAUAGAAUUGCUAGCCUUCAAUUUGGAAAUGAGCUAAUAAGUAGUUUUACUUUGUACCAGAAAUUUUAAAGGUAGACAGAGAGGCUAACUAAAUAGGAAGUAAUUGCAUUAAUAUACAUAGCUGGAGUCCAUGAGAUAUAUUUAUUUAUUUUCUGUUCCAAUAUCUUAGAUUCCUUUAAGAAAGAAAAAGUUAUGAUUGUAAAACUUAUUACAGUUGAACCAAAAAAGUGAAGCCCUUGGGUGGAAGAGUUUUAAUACUCUGUAUUAUAUCUCUUCUGACAGACAUCCAUUCUUGAAUAUGCAAAUGCCCCUCUUCUCUUCUAGUGUACCACUUAAAAGCCUGGAAUCAUUAAAAUUACUCAUUGUUCUUGAGGAGUUAACUUAUGGACUGUCUACCAGUUGUUUGAUUAGGUCUCAUCAUGAUUGAACUCCACAUGCUGGUGCAAAACUCAAAUUUAGUGGAUAUAUUUUAAGUCUCAUUUGGUCCUGGCUGCAUAAGAAGGAUGUUCUGAUUCCUCUGUUGCUUAUUUUGACUUUCACUUUCUAUCCUAAUUCCUUCAUCAAUUGGAGCAUUAGUUUCCCAACUCUUUCUGCAAGUUCUCUUCUUUUCUCUUCUAUUAAUAUUGACUGCCCCCCUUUUUUUAUCCUUGACCGGUUUUGUUGAUCCUAGCUCAAAGCUUCAGCUACUCCUUAAUGAUGUUGAACAAUCACUGUUUUCUUUUUUAAUUACAAUCCGUAAAUAGCACAUAAUAAUCAAAAAGCAAAAUGGAUAUUUUACUAAACAGGCAUGGCCGUUAUUCUUAUCUUAGCAUGGAGUCUCUACCUCCUUUGUGCAAUUGCCCUGCAGCUAUGAAGAUGCUCAGCAACCUCCUAAUAUCUACAAAGUUGUUGUAAAGCUCUGGAAGUAAUAAAAUAUAUGGGUUAAACUGUAGCAUAAGGCAUUCAAUUGAUUGAGCCUACCUUUUAUUUUGGUGGACUUUGCUCAGUGAUAAUCAUCAGCCAUGACACGUGAUGGAGCAGUUGUAUAUUAGAAGCAAAAUUUAUGAUCAUUUUCUUUGUUCUGGUAAGAUAUUAAUAUUGGUUAAUGAGCAGCCCCUGCUCUUUUAUUGAUGUAUUAUCUCUCUGAGCUGUCGCCUCACACUCUUAUCUGUUUAUGCUCUCUUCUGACUAGAAUUACUCUCACAAACAUGCUGCUUGAUUUUUGCUAGUCAGUGAUCUAGCUGAAAUAGAGAAGGAAAACUUUCUCCAGCAUAUAAUGAGCAAUAUUACAUAAUAGCCUCUCUUUACUAUCAUGGGGACACAAUUGAGUAAAGAACUUUCACCAUUGCUUCACCUAAAAAAAAGAAAAAAGAACUUCCACCAUUGAUUUUCCAUGCUUUGGAAAGGAUGGUUUCAAUAUUAGGAAGUUCCAUAUAUUGUUGCAUUCAGGCUUAUCUAAAGCAAUGGUUCACAACAAACAUCGAGUUAGCAAUACAACCAGAUGUUAGAAGCUUCUUUAUAUGUUCUCUACCUGGAAGAGAUGCUAUUGCAAGAGUUGCAGGCAUAGUCAUGAGGGAACAGGGUAGAAGGCGAAUGGCUAUAAUAACUGUUUAUAGGUACAUUGAUGUAUUUUCUGUCCGUAUAUGGCCUUCUUCAUAGCCAUACGUUUAAAUACCCCAUCCAAGGAAAAGGGGAAGAAGAAAAUCAUUGAAGUGCUGGUGCAUUCUGUCAGGGGUGAGAAAAUGCAUCAACCAAAACUGACGGGAGAAAAUUUGGUCAGAUGGAUGCAUAUGGGGCAUUAAAGGAUGGAUGACUCUACAAGCAACAGAGACGCACAAUAAAAGAUCAAUGUCUCCACUAAGUUUGAAACUACUAACAAGUGUUGUUCUUUCACCCGAGAGACCGGCGGGAGAUCAGAUCAGGUAACUUGUCAUUCGAACCUAGUCAACUUAAGAUGUUGAAAACUAUCUGAAUUCCCCAAAGGUCAUGCUGCUUGUUGUUUGUCCCACAAAGAGCAUCUCAAGAUCAUCUGUUUUUUGGACCACCAAAUGAUUAGAUCAGCGCGUACCGGUUGGUUUCAGUUGCUCCAAUCCGAUUCAGUGUUCGGCUAACUGCGUCACUUCACCAAAGUCGUGUGAAAAAUGGGAUGACAUUGAGACCUUGGAGGUCCCCAUGUUCUAAUAAUUGCUCCUCUUCCUCUUUCAAUGCUAAUCAAUUUGCACCAACUCCUUUACCAAUCUUUUUCAUUCUCUUUUCUUCCUUCUUUUCGGUAUUUAAGAGUUUUAUUUUCAAAAGGGUAAAUCAAUAAAAAGCCAAAGCAGUCCGCGACAUCCUCCUAAGGCCACACCACAGAAGGUGAAGAAAUCAAGUAGUAGAACCAUGUUAUUGACCAUAAAGUGAAAAAAAGGAUGCAAUGCAAGCUAGUUUUUUUCAGGAGUAACUUUGUCUUUGCUUUCGAAUUGGUUUUCACACGUUUGUUUAAACCAGUUUCAUUCAACCACUUGAAGGAAGAUGAUGAAAGGUUUAAGGAAGAGGAAGACAAGGUUGUAGGCCAUAUCGGCAUGGCUCAUAUUUUAUUUGCAAUAAGGGGUUUGUCGUAGGUCAAAAGAUUCAAGCUUUCAUGCGCCGCUGCCCCAUCCUCAACUUUUCCACUUUCAGCCAGUCUUCACCUACUCUCUGAGUGAUUCCAAAAUUUCAAGAAAUGUGGGUAAAAUUCUUGUCUUCUUUCCUCUAAAACUGAAACUUGAUAUGAGAUCCAGCUGGUUUUUACCUAAAAUAUCUUUGUUUCAAUCUUGAAAAUACACUACUAGUGAUGGAGAAGGGGCCCCUUUCAA
RNA transcript from Theobroma umbraticum, 5045 nucleotides. It is a transcript of the gene named low psii accumulation2, with no coding region annotated. Lineage: Eukaryota; Viridiplantae; Streptophyta; Magnoliopsida; Malvales; Malvaceae. The record is from RefSeq and is a predicted model, not a curated record.